GACGGGGGCCCGCACAAGCGGAGGAACAUGUGGUUUAAUUCGAUGAUACGCGAGGAACCUUACCCGGGCUUGAACUGCAGGAGAAGGAUACAGAGAUGUUGACGCCCUUCGGGGCUCCUGUGGAGGUGCUGCAUGGUUGUCGUCAGCUCGUGCCGUGAGGUGUCGGCUUAAGUGCCAUAACGAGCGCAACCCUUUUCGUCAGUUGCCAUCAGGUGAUGCUGGGCACUCUGGCGACACUGCCACCGUAAGGUGUGAGGAAGGUGGGGAUGACGUCAAAUCAGCACGGCCCUUACGUCCGGGGCUACACACGUGUUACAAUGGGGCAUACAGAAGGCCGGUGCAUGGCAAUGUGCAUCCAAUCUUAAAAGUGCUCCUCAGUUCGGAUUGGGGUCUGCAACCCGACCCCAUGAAGCUGGAUUCGCUAGUAAUCGCGCAUCAGCCAUGGCGCGGUGAAUACGUUCCCGGGCCUUGUACACACCGCCCGUCAAGCCAUGAAAGCCGGGGGCGCCUGAAGUCCGUGACCGCGAGGGUCGGCCUAGGGUGAAACCGGUGAUUGGGGCUAAGUCGUAACAAGGUAG
RNAcentral lists this ribosomal RNA (578 nucleotides) under uncultured bacterium. Its description in RNAcentral is "bacterial SSU rRNA". It matches the Rfam family "Bacterial small subunit ribosomal RNA", at positions 912 to 1499 of the family's 1533-position model. The record is from RNAcentral.